RNAcentral lists this long non-coding RNA (1323 nucleotides) under Sus scrofa (pig). Lineage: Eukaryota; Metazoa; Chordata; Mammalia; Artiodactyla; Suidae. The record is from RNAcentral.
GGGUUUGGGCGCGCAUCGAACUCUGAAGGGUCGGGAAGGCCUGUCGUUGGAAUGUGGUUGAGUUCCAGGGAGUGUACAGGCUGGAGGAUGGGACAAGACCUAUCUCUGUAUCGAUCAAGCACGGCGUUGGUGUUCCAGCUCAUCACCGAUCCUAAGGAAUUCAAGUGCCUCCCAGGAUGAAUACAGGUAAUUUUUCCAACUGGGGCAUUGGGGUGGCCUCUGUUGUUCCCCACAGAGCAAAUGGGCAGUGAAGCAGUGUUACCUUUUUGCUCCUUCAGUUUCUUCCUUUUGCAAUGAUAUUCCUGGGGAGGGAGACAGCAAGCAGCACAGUUGGUUCUGUGAGGGUGUUCUCUUCCUUCACACAUAUGUCACUGUCAGAUGAUUUGAAUUGACAAUGCUGAUCCUCUGUGAGGUCCAACACUUAAUAGCAUGUUAGAGUUCUGAUGGCAGUUUACAUGAAUGAAAAAGUGUUAUCUUGUGAUAGUAUUUUAAAAUAACCAUUUGCUGCUGUUCUACAGGUUGUCUUGAUGGUGAUACAUUCAUCUGUCUUAAGAUCCCUGCUGAUCUGCUCAUGGUCAAACUCAUGGAAAGAGUUGAGAGUGGGGCACCUUGUUCCUGCAUCCUCAAAGGAGCAUCUUGUUCCUCUAUUUAAGCUUCCAGAGUUAAAAGGUUAGUUGAUUAAUGUCACCAUAAUAUAUGCCACCAAGUAAGCAGUUUCUGUGAUGAAUCAAACUAGCUCACUAUGAACUAACAAUGAAAAGAUAUGAACACCUGAGAAACUGGAGAACAGAGCAGUGGGAUACUGUCUGCUAGGAACUUAAUAUCACUUACAGUUUUGUCCUUUCCUAGGUACCUGUACCAUUUAGCGGCUUGUUCACUCAAAGGUGAGUGAUUUAUAUGUUGGCACAUACAGUGUACUGAGGGAGAAAAUGCCUUUUUAGGCAUCUACACAUGAUGACUUACAUGGAAUCUCGUUCGGCUGAUGAUUUGCUGUUGAGACUCGGAAAUCUGAUUUUUUUUUUCUUUUAAGAACUUAAGUGGGAACAAAUUUUAAUGUAGGAAGUAAGCAUUACUGACUCAUUCUUGUUUUGUUUUAGAUCCAUCUUUUCUGGAGCCUGAGGAUGAUUGGAGGUGAAAGGUGUAAGCCAUACUCUGCUCAACUCCAGUCUGAAACUAAGGUUAAAAGAACACGUACUUAACACACGGGUAAGAAUCCAACUCUUGGAGGACAUCAGAAGUGGAAUUUUCUUAUACAACCUACCUAUUCAAAUUAGCAUAUAAUCUUUCUAGCCUUUCUAAAUAAAUAAAGGGAUUUUUUUGUAA